This 2242-nucleotide long non-coding RNA is filed under the name Gallus gallus (chicken). RNAcentral's name for it is "long non-coding RNA NONGGAT004914". Lineage: Eukaryota; Metazoa; Chordata; Aves; Galliformes; Phasianidae. The record is from RNAcentral.
UGAGAUAUUUAGCGUACAUCAGUCUUCUUUUCUUUAACGCGAGUGGUUAAAAUUAAGUAAUUUUCUCACAUCCUGCUAUUAGGAGCCCCAGUCUGUCCUCGCUGACAGAAACAAAGCUGACUCAGAUAUAAGUGUUGCCAUUACAUCAGUGUAAGUUGUGAGGUCCAUCACUAACUGAGAAGCAAGGAUACCUGGUUCCAGCAUAUUUUCUGUCAGUGUCUGACGAUUGAAGGGAUCAGUGGAAGAAUUCAACAGAUGCCUCAGGAUGAUUGACCUGUCCAUAAUAGUUCCAGAUGGCAACCUCACAGGAUCAGUCAUCAGAGUGUCCAUGAGUGGAUCUGAGGACACAAUCGUCACAUUGAAAACAGAUGAAAGCUUCACCUGAACAGAGACUUACUGCACAGAACUGAUACUCAGUCUCCAAUCAGCCACAUUGCUGAAGUUACAGAAAACAGGUAAAAGCAGCAGGAAGUUAAAACGAGCAGUGGAUUUAGUCCCAGGACAGAAAGGGAAAAACAGUACAAAGGUUAAGCAUUAGCCAUUUUCACUAUAUCUCAGAUUGUUUUUUUCCUUACUGUUUUAAAUUACAUGCAGUGAAGACAAGGCUUGGACUGGACAAUACAAUUCCAAGGAAAAAAAAACAAAAAAACACCCUUUGUAUCUCUUAAUUCACUAAUUUAAUUGAAUUGGAGAAGGAUGUAAGUCUCCAUAAACACAGUCUCCACUAAUACAUAAUCAUACUUAAAAACAAGAUAACAGAACAAAUCUGUCUUGACCUAACAAUUCAGUACUUAGAAAAAUCAACUUGCCUCUGAAUUCAUCCGGAGCAUCGCUGUAAUCAAUUUCUGCACGGGCAUUCUUGGCAACAAUCUCUUCCACUUUCUCUGCCAGCAGUUUGAAUUUUUCUAUUGCUAUGGUUGACUUGAUUCCAGCCUUUCUCAUCUUUGAUAUGACCUCCUCAAAGAGCUCUUUGCUGUAGGACCUCUACAAGCAAAGCAUAAAACUUUGCUGAGCUGCAGUAUCCUAAUGUGCCGCAAACAUUCUACAGUCCUCUUAAUGCUUUUUAAAAACUUUAGAAGAGGGGAUCAAUAAAACCUCAAAUUAUGCAAGACAGAAAAUCAUAAUGUACAGAACACUUCAUCUAGCACAAAAAUAUCAACUUUGGGUUACACUUGUGCUUUUGUACUGGUCAUUACUACUGUACAACUGUUUGGCAGAAAAAAUACAGCAGAAGACAAUACCAACUAAUCAAAAUGGUUGAGGCAUUCAGAGAGGCUGACUGUAAUUAUUAGCACUGUUCCUUAGAUUAAAUAUCUGUCUUGUAACAUCUGUCCAUAUCCUUGACCUCACCAGUCCUGGCCAAAAAUAUCACAUAAAAGCUUUUUUUAAACCCUAGUUCUCCAACCAUUGCACAUGAAGACAGCGAAAGAACUGCUCUUUACAUCAGCACAAAUACCCUCAGCACCUCUUGGGGAUCUUCAGGAUCAUUAACAUCCCACUUCAUCCUGGCUGUUGAGAGAAUACCAUAGUCAAAAAAGACUGAUGCAACAGCUUUCAGGAUUUAACAUUCAAGGAGUAGAGGUUACAUAUUUCAUAUGCAUCUUUCCCCUGAAAGCUGCACUGUUUAUUAUCCUCAAAAACAAAUUCAGACCCUGGAGUUGUCUGCCACACAGAGCAGAAGCAGUGCAUUUAAGUCUUUUGUUGUGGUUGGUAUUCUCUUCCCCAUGGUAGGAAACACCUCAACUGACAUGUACUGGUAAAGGUGUGGCUCUGUAUCCCAAGAUUUACAUUAAUGUACUUGGAAAAAAAUGAAGCCUCAACUUAAAACUGCUUGAAAACAACAGCUAAAAACGUGAUUAUACAGCCCAUCCAUGGUAUAAUUGAAUAGUGAAGUACAUCUUACAACAAAUAUGCCAAGUUACAAGCUAACAGAUACUGUGCAUUUUGUUAGAUACGGAUGAUCUCUUAAGUUCUCUGAUAAUGCACAAUGCAAUAUUAAAAAAAUAAAAAAGCCUCCUAAGAUGAAAAACAAGCCUGCUGCCAAACUAGUAAGACGACUCCUUCAAGCACCAAAUACUUGCUUGCCAACUGGUGCAGCAUGCAGCACUCUGCAGGAACUGCCUGCUGCUCACAACUUCACAGCUACGUAGUGCAAAAUACAGAGAAACAACUGCACAUCCUGUGGUUUCGACUGAAACAAACAGUGCUUUCAUCCAACUAAAUAACUAAAAAAAUAAAAUAG